GAGUAACACGUGGGUAACCUGCCCAGAAGAAGGGGAUAACACCUGGAAACAGAUGCUAAUACCGUAUAACAACAAGAACCACAUGGUUCUUGUUUGAAAGCUGGCCUUUGUGCUAGUGCUUCUGGAUGGACCCGCGGCGUAUUAGCUAGUUGGUGAGAUAAUAGCUCACCAAGGCAAUGAUACGUAGCAGACCUGAGAGGGUAAUCUGCCACAAUGGGACUGAGACACGGCCCAUACUCCUACGGGAGGCAGCAGUAGGGAAUCUUCCACAAUGGACGAAAGUCUGAUGGAGCAACGCCGCGUGAGUGAAGAAGGGUUUCGGCUCGUAAAACUCUGUUGUUAGAGAAGAACAGCCGUGAGAGCAACUGCUCACGGUAUGACGGUAUCUAACCAGAAAGUCACGGCUAACUACGUGCCAGCAGCCGCGGUAAUACGUAGGUGGCAAACGUUGUCCGGAUUUAUUGGGCGUAAAGGGAGCGCAGGCGGUUUAUUAAGUCUGAUGUGAAAGCCUUCGGCUUAACCGGAGAAGUGCAUCGGAAACUGAUAAACUUGAGUGCAGAAAAGGAUAGUGGAACUUCAUGUGUAGCGGUGAAAUGCGUAGAUAUAUGAAGGAACACCAGUGGCGAAGGCGGCUAUCUGGUCUGUAACUGACGCUGAGGCUCGAAAGCAUGGGUAGCAAACAGGAUUAGAUACCCUGGUAGUCCAUGCCGUAAACGAUGAAUGCUAGGUGUUGGAAGGUUUCCGCCUUUCAGUGCCGCAGCUAACGCA
This 768-nucleotide ribosomal RNA is filed under the name Fructilactobacillus sanfranciscensis. RNAcentral describes it as "bacterial SSU rRNA". It matches the Rfam family "Bacterial small subunit ribosomal RNA", at positions 108 to 859 of the family's 1533-position model. The record is from RNAcentral. Lineage: Bacteria; Bacillati; Bacillota; Bacilli; Lactobacillales; Lactobacillaceae.